RNAcentral lists this ribosomal RNA (654 nucleotides) under Triticum aestivum (bread wheat). Its description in RNAcentral is "partial small subunit ribosomal RNA". Lineage: Eukaryota; Viridiplantae; Streptophyta; Magnoliopsida; Poales; Poaceae. The record is from RNAcentral.
AUGGCCCCACAGCGGCGUGCCCCCGGCGAUCCCCCACCAGUGUACGGACCGAUGGAAGAGCGAUUCUCUGUAGAGAUUAAUCACGCUGGUCUGUUUUGCGGUUCUGGAAUGAACAAGGCAUAUUUCGAUGGCCGGGUUGAUCACUUUGAUGGUUGUGAGGUAGAAACCUGGUCUCCAUUGUGGAUAUAUCAUUUUGUGGGGCAGCUUGGGCAUGAUCCAGCUAGGGUGGAGUUGUACUGGUUACUUCCUGGAAAACAUUUGCAUGAUGGGCUUCGCAUAAUUCAGAGUGAUGCUGAUACUCUGAUGAUGAGUGUCGUUGUUCCCAAAUUUCAGUAUUUCCAACUGUAUGUGGACCAAAAAUAUUUAUCGGAUGAUAUCUAUGUAAUUGGCUCUCCAACAUUGCCAGUGGUUCUUAGCCCUCGAACAGAGAUAAACGUGCCAAUAUUUUGUGAUGAUGCUGCCAGCCCAAAUAGUAGGCGAAGGUGCAAGGUCAAAGCAGUCAAGGGAAAUUUGCAAAACUGUUUCUCACCCAAUACAAAAGGCAGUGGAGAUAAAGAUAAGGAUGACUCGGAUGACAGUGAUAGCAAUUAUGGCGACAAUUUGGUUGACUCGGAUAAUGAAUUCGACAAGGAUGAUGAUGAUCUCUUCGCAUAG